GUGCUCACUUCGGCAGCACAUAUACUAAAAUUGGAACAAUACAGAGGAGAUUAGCAUGGCCCCUGCACAAGAAUGAUACACAAAUUCAUGAAGCAUUCAUAUUUUUG
This 107-nucleotide small nuclear RNA is filed under the name Octodon degus (degu). Lineage: Eukaryota; Metazoa; Chordata; Mammalia; Rodentia; Octodontidae. The record is from RNAcentral.